GUGGGGAAUAUUGGGCAAUGGGCGAAAGCCUGACCCAGCAACGCCGCGUGAAGGAAGAAGGUUUUCGGAUCGUAAACUUCUAUCCUUGGUGAAGAUAAUGACGGUAGCCAAGAAGGAAGCCCCGGCUAACUACGUGCCAGCAGCCGCGGUAAUACGUAGGGGGCAAGCGUUGUCCGGAAUGAUUGGGCGUAAAGGGCGCGUAGGCGGCCCGGUAAGUCUGAAGUGAAAGUCCUGCUUUUAAGGUGGGAAUUGCUUUGGAUACUGUCGGGCUUGAGUGCAGGAGAGGUAAGCGGAAUUCCCGGUGUAGCGGUGAAAUGCGUAGAGAUCGGGAGGAACACCAGUGGCGAAGGCGGCUAACUGGACUGUAACUGACGCUGAGGCGCGAAAGUGUGGGGAGCAAACAGGAUUAGAAACCCCGGUAGUCC
Molecule: ribosomal RNA, 425 nt
Filed under: uncultured bacterium
Lineage: Bacteria
Description: partial 16S ribosomal RNA
Rfam family: Bacterial small subunit ribosomal RNA
Source: RNAcentral